UCGGGAAUAUUGCGCAAUGGAGGAAACUCUGACGCAGUGACGCCGCGUGCAGGAAGAAGGUUUUCGGAUUGUAAACUGCUUUAGACAGGGAAGAAAAAAGACAGUACCUGUAGAAUAAGCUCCGGCUAACUACGUGCCAGCAGCCGCGGUAAUACGUAGGGAGCAAGCGUUAUCCGGAUUUAUUGGGUGUAAAGGGUGCGUAGACGGGAAUGCAAGUUGGUUGUGAAAUCCCUCGGCUUAACUGAGGAACUGCAACCAAAACUACAUUUCUUGAGUGCUGGAGAGGAAAGUGGAAUUCCUAGU
RNAcentral lists this ribosomal RNA (303 nucleotides) under uncultured bacterium. RNAcentral describes it as "bacterial SSU rRNA". It matches the Rfam family "Bacterial small subunit ribosomal RNA", at positions 355 to 674 of the family's 1533-position model. The record is from RNAcentral.